GCAAGGUGCUGCAUGGUUGUCGUCAGCUCGUGCCGUGAGGUGUCGGGUUAAGUCCCAUAACGAGCGCAACCCCUAUUGUUAGUUGCCAUCAGGUCAUGCUGGGGACUCUAACAAAACUGCCCGCGUAAGCGUGGAGGAAGGUGGGGAUGACGUCAAAUCAGCACGGCCCUUACGUCCAGGGCUACACACGUGCUACAAUGGCCGGUACAGAGGGCAGCCACUUGGUGACAAGGAGCAAAUCUCAAAAGCCGGUCUCAGUUCGGAUCGGAGUCUACAACUCGACUCCGUGAAGUUGGAUUCGCUAGUAAUCGUAGAUCAGCAAUGCUACGGUGAAUACGUUCCCGGGCCUU
RNAcentral lists this ribosomal RNA (350 nucleotides) under uncultured Bacteroidota bacterium. RNAcentral's name for it is "bacterial SSU rRNA". It matches the Rfam family "Bacterial small subunit ribosomal RNA", at positions 1033 to 1382 of the family's 1533-position model. The record is from RNAcentral. Lineage: Bacteria; Pseudomonadati; Bacteroidota.